Molecule: long non-coding RNA, 690 nt
Organism: Malurus melanocephalus (red-backed fairy wren)
Lineage: Eukaryota; Metazoa; Chordata; Aves; Passeriformes; Maluridae
Exons: 3
Source: RefSeq, a predicted model, not a curated record
GAGCACAGCCUGUCUUCCAGCACCGUCUUGUCAACCUKACCAUGGCACYGAGUGCCAGGUCCAGUCUCUCCCUAAACAUCUCCACCACCUCUGUGGGCAGUUAAUUCCAAUGUCUAAUCACCCUUCCUGUGAAGAAAUCCUUCGUAAUGCUCAACCUAAACCUCCCCUGGUGCAGCUUGAGACGACAUCCUCUCGCCCUGUCACUGGUUGUUUGGGAGAAGAGGCCAUGCCCCAGCUGGCAAAAACCUCCUUUAAGGAAGCUGCAGAGAGUGAUGAGGUCCUGUCUGAGCCUUCUUUUCUCAAGGCUAAACAACCCCAGCGGCCUCAGCCACUGCUCCUAGGACUUGUGCUCCAGACCCUUCACCAGCUUUGUUGUCCUUCUCUGGACACACUCCAGCACCUCAAUAUCCUUUCUGAAUUGAGAGGCCCAGAACCAGCCACCGUUCUUGAUGUCCACCAGCUCCUCGUGUCCUGCCUCAGCUGUCGCCCUGGACCUUCCCUUUUGAAGGGCUGACAAAGCACUGCCUGUAAGAUGUGAUAAUUUGGAGGGAGUAGUCAUCUGUUCCUGGAGAAAUCAAAUAUUGUCCAGCAUUGUCUUCACUCCAUUUCUAAUAUGAAACUGAAAAACCAGCACAAUGGGGAGGUAUUUUUGAAACUUUGGAGAGACAGCCAAUCCAACUACUGGUAAGA